GUGGGGAAUAUUGGACAAUGGGGGGAACCCUGAUCCAGCCAUGCCGCGUGUGUGAAGAAGGCCUUUUGGUUGUAAAGCACUUUAAGCGAGGAGGAGGCUACCGAGAUUAAUACUCUUGGAUAGUGGACGUUACUCGCAGAAUAAGCACCGGCUAACUCUGUGCCAGCAGCCGCGGUAAUACAGAGGGUGCAAGCGUUAAUCGGAUUUACUGGGCGUAAAGCGCGCGUAGGUGGCCAAUUAAGUCAAAUGUGAAAUCCCCGAGCUUAACUUGGGAAUUGCAUUCGAUACUGGUUGGCUAGAGUAUGGGAGAGGAUGGUAGAAUUCCAGGUGUAGCGGUGAAAUGCGUAGAGAUCUGGAGGAAUACCGAUGGCGAAGGCAGCCAUCUGGCCUAAUACUGACGCUGAGGUACGAAAGCAUGGGGAGCAAACAGGAUUAGAAACCCCGGUAGUCC
This 451-nucleotide ribosomal RNA is filed under the name uncultured bacterium. RNAcentral's name for it is "bacterial SSU rRNA". It matches the Rfam family "Bacterial small subunit ribosomal RNA", at positions 354 to 796 of the family's 1533-position model. The record is from RNAcentral.